This 253-nucleotide ribosomal RNA is filed under the name uncultured bacterium. RNAcentral's name for it is "partial 16S ribosomal RNA". It matches the Rfam family "Bacterial small subunit ribosomal RNA", at positions 524 to 776 of the family's 1533-position model. The record is from RNAcentral.
UACGGAGGGUGCAAGCGUUAUCCGGAUUUAUUGGGUUUAAAGGGUCCGUAGGCGGAUUUAUAAGUCAGUGGUGAAAUCCUGCAGCUCAACUGUAGAACUGCCAUUGAUACUGUAAGUCUUGAAUUCGGUUGAAGUGGGCGGAAUAUGGCAUGUAGCGGUGAAAUGCUUAGAUAUGCCAUAGAACACCGAUUGCGUAGGCAGCUCACUAAGCCUGGAUUGACGCUGAGGGACGAAAGCGUGGGUAGCGAACAGG